GACGAACCGUGCAAACGUUGUUCGGAAUCACUGGGCUUAAAGGGCGCGUAGGCGGUUUGCCAAGUCAGGGGUGAAAUCCUGCAGCUCAACUGUAGAAGUGCCUUUGAUACUGGCGAACUUGAGGGAGGUAGGGGUGGGUGGAACUUCUGGUGGAGCGGUGAAAUGCGUUGAUAUCAGAAGGAACGCCGGUGGCGAAAGCGACCCACUGGAUCUCUACUGACGCUGAGGCGCGAAAGCUAGGGGAGCAAACGGG
This 253-nucleotide ribosomal RNA is filed under the name uncultured bacterium. RNAcentral describes it as "partial 16S ribosomal RNA". It matches the Rfam family "Bacterial small subunit ribosomal RNA", at positions 524 to 776 of the family's 1533-position model. The record is from RNAcentral.